AUGAACGUUGGCGGCGUGGAUUAGGCAUGCAAGUCGCGCGCGUAGCAAUACGAGCGGCGAAAGGGACAGUAAUGUGUGGGUCAUCUGCCCUCGGGACGGGGAUAGCCACGGGAAACUGUGGGUAAUACCCGAUAACAUCUUCGGAUCAAAGGUGUGAGUCCGCCCGGGGAUGAGCCUGCAUCCUAUUAGCUUGUUGGCGGGGUAACGGCCCACCAAGGCUUUGAUGGGUAGCGGGUGUGAGAGCACGACCCGCGUCAUUGGGACUGAGACACUGCCCAGACACCUACGGGUGGCUGCAGUCGAGAAUCUUCGGCAAUGGACGCAAGUCUGACCGAGCGACGCCGCGUGCGGGAUGAAGGCCUUCGGGUUGUAAACCGCUGUCAGUGGGGAGGAAGGCUCCGUGAAGAGCGGGGUUUGACCUAUCCGCAGAGGAAGUGUGGGCUAAGCUCGU
This 451-nucleotide ribosomal RNA is filed under the name uncultured bacterium. RNAcentral's name for it is "bacterial SSU rRNA". It matches the Rfam family "Bacterial small subunit ribosomal RNA", at positions 29 to 506 of the family's 1533-position model. The record is from RNAcentral.